Molecule: long non-coding RNA, 1326 nt
Organism: Amphimedon queenslandica
Lineage: Eukaryota; Metazoa; Porifera; Demospongiae; Haplosclerida; Niphatidae
Exons: 2
Source: RefSeq, a predicted model, not a curated record
ACAACAGAAAAAGGUGCAAAAAGUGAUGUUUUUUGAGAAGAGGUGGAUGGAGAACAACUUCAUCGAGCCUCUUAAAGCAGUGCAGAGGAGACUCAAUCGUCCAGCUCAACGUCGUAUUGAGCCUCCCCCACGUCGUUACAGUCCUCCUGCUCGUCGCAGGGAGAGCAGUUCCUGCACUGUACUCUGAAGAAUGAACCAUUGAACUAUUAGCAAGAGUUGCUAUUAGUAAUACUACAUUACCUUUUAGUAUGUAGGAGUGCAAGCCUAAUUUAGUUAGUAUUGCGUGAUCACUGUAGUGGUUUCGUGUGUAGGCCUAGGGUUGUUGACAGGAACAAGUAGACUAUAUGUAGUUUACACUGUUGGCUUGAUGUCAUAUAGUGUCCCCAUUGUUAUUGUUAUGGAGCUCUGUAGAUUUACUUAGUAUUGCUAUUAUUCAUUUGAAAUAAAGUUUUAAUGGAUGUCAAAAUUGUAUAAUGCAACGUGCACAAUAACAAAGACAUGAAUACAUAAUUUUUGACAUUAAUAUUUGUAGAACUAAUGGAUCAAAUAUAAUACAAGCAAGUUUGCCUUAUGAUGCAUUCUAAUUUCAGUAAUAUACCUAAGUAGAUCUAAGUUUAUAGAAUUCCUUAUUGUACAUACAUUAUUCACUAUUACAACAUGUACGUUAUCGCAUGAUAGGCAAAACAGCUUUGUGAGUGUAGAAAUUGAAUGGCAUCAUCAGUUGAGAGUCAGGAGAAGACAGAAAUACAUGUCAAUGGGGAACAGUUAAAGUCUCUGUACCCAAUGGUCCCUUAGCAACCUUCAUAUAUACUACUUCAACACUGUCUCCAGCUGCUUUAAGUUAGCUAGUCAAAUAUUUAGCUGAUUUUUAAAGUCAUCUAAGAGAUUUUCAAAAUUAUUCUCAACUGACACGUGACAAAGAGGUCCAACUAAUACAUUACUGUGCUACCAAUGAUCCCGAGAGCAUAACUGGAAUUAUUAUUAUGGAAUUAUAGAAUUGUCAUGUACUGUGUAUAGAUCUACUAUUGCAUCAGUUUUUAUGACGUGCUGUUAUUCAUUGGUCAAGCCUUUCAGUAUGUUCAAUUGUAUUCAUAAUGUGUAAACACAUUUUUAUUACUUGUACCCUCAUGCUCUGUUUAUUCAGUAUAGCAUUUCCUGGAAUUGUCAUGAAUAAAUUGUAAUAUUGACAGACGGACCUUGGCCCUAGAGUAAACUGUAUUAGAGAGACUAAGACUUACUGCCUCCUUUCUGUUUGUUGCCCCAAAACUGAUUACUAAACUAAUUUUAUAAUUAUGGCUGCUGUAAUGGGAAGGACUCAGGUACAGA